UGGAAUUAAACUCCAGUCCUCCGGAAGAACA
This 31-nucleotide non-coding RNA is filed under the name Mus musculus (house mouse). The record is from RNAcentral. Lineage: Eukaryota; Metazoa; Chordata; Mammalia; Rodentia; Muridae.